UAGGGAAUCUUCGGCAAUGGGGGCAACCCUGACCGAGCAACGCCGCGUGAGUGAAGAAGGUUUUCGGAUCGUAAAGCUCUGUUGUAAGUCAAGAACGAGUGUGAGAGUGGAAAGUUCACACUGUGACGGUAGCUUACCAGAAAGGGACGGCUAACUACGUGCCAGCAGCCGCGGUAAUACGUAGGUCCCGAGCGUUGUCCGGAUUUAUUGGGCGUAAAGCGAGCGCAGGCGGUUUGAUAAGUCUGAAGUUAAAGGCUGUGGCUCAACCAUAGUUCGCUUUGGAAACUGUCAAACUUGAGUGCAGAAGGGGAGAGUGGAAUUCCAUGUGUAGCGGUGAAAUGCGUAGAUAUAUGGAGGAACACCGGUGGCGAAAGCGGCUCUCUGGUCUGUAACUGACGCUGAGGCUCGAAAGCGUGGGGAGCGAACAGGAUUAGAUACCCUGGUAGUCCACGCCGUNNCGAUGUCGAUUUGGAGGUUGUGCCCUUGAGGCGUGGCUUCCGGAGCUAACGCGUUAAAUCGACCGCCUGGGGAGUACGGNCGCAAGGNUA
This 548-nucleotide ribosomal RNA is filed under the name uncultured bacterium. RNAcentral's name for it is "bacterial SSU rRNA". It matches the Rfam family "Bacterial small subunit ribosomal RNA", at positions 355 to 896 of the family's 1533-position model. The record is from RNAcentral.